UCCGUAGGUGAACCUGCGGAAGGAUCAUUAUUGAAUUACGGGCGAGGGUUGUCGCUGGCCUCUCGGGGCAUGUGCACGCCCGAGCCAUCCCCAACAAACGCCGUGGGCCUUCGGGCCCGCGUAUAUUUACUCUGAAUGUGUAUAGAAUGUAAACCAUUUGUUUGCCCUGAAAAAGCAAACGAAAAAUAGUACAACUUUCAACAACGGAUCUCUUGGCUCUCGCAUCGAUGAAGAACGCAGCGAAAUGCGAUAAGUAAUGUGAAUUGCAGAUUUUCAGUGAAUCAUCGAAUCUUUGAACGCACCUUGCGCCCCUUGGUAUUCCGAGGGGCAUGCCUGUUUGAGUGUCAUUAAAUCCUCAACCGCGCCGAUUGAUUUUCGGUGGGGCUUGGACUUUGGAGCGUGCUGGCGAAGGUCGGCUCCUCUUUAAAUGCAUCAGCGGAAGAAACCUUUGUCUUUCCCGCCUUCGGUGUGAUAAUUGNGUUGCGCCGUGGUGGAACUUCAACGAUCCGCUUACAAUGGUCUUCGGACGAAACCUCAUGUCAUCUUGACCUCAAAUCAGGUAGGACUACCCGCUGAACUUAAGCAUAUCAAUAAGCGGAGGAA
This 603-nucleotide ribosomal RNA is filed under the name uncultured Tylospora. Its description in RNAcentral is "eukaryotic LSU rRNA". The stretch from base 193 to 347 matches the Rfam family "5.8S ribosomal RNA". The record is from RNAcentral. Lineage: Eukaryota; Fungi; Basidiomycota; Agaricomycetes; Atheliales; Atheliaceae.